UUUAUAGGUUUCAUAACGAGUGAGAAUUAGAUAUCGAUUGAUAUCAACUCGAGUUAUUUAAUUUCAAUAAUAAUAAACGAGCCUAUGGCGAGUUUAUUAUUAUUGAAAUUAAAUAACGAGAGUUGAUAUCAAGCGAUAUCUAAUUCUCACAAGUUGUUAAACCUAUUUCUCUUAUGGCAAAAAGUUGUAUGUGCGUGGCCUAUUUGUUGCGAGUUGUGUUGCUACGGCCGUUUUUCUUUACAACGCGUACUGAUCUUUCUCUUAUGGUUGGGGCCUGCUAUCUAAUUUGUAACAAGUGUAUUGACACGUUAUUUCUACAAUAAUUAACAAAUAACUCACUUGUUGCACCUUAAAAUCUUCUUUUUAUCAAAUUGUAUUACAUUCUGAAGCGGCACAGAAUCCAGAAAAUGCCCGGUGUUUAUGUAUGACACCGGAAGCAUACCUAUGACGUCACGUAGUGUAGGGACCAAAGAAGAUAACAUCUUUUCGCGGAAUUUUUCUUAAUGAAGAUUUUACACUGAAAUUGUGAUUGAAAUUUAAUUAUGAACUUGUUUUGCAUUAGAAUAGAGAUAACUGUAUUGUAUUUGAAGCUUUGCA
RNAcentral lists this long non-coding RNA (597 nucleotides) under Mytilus galloprovincialis (Mediterranean mussel). Lineage: Eukaryota; Metazoa; Mollusca; Bivalvia; Mytilida; Mytilidae. The record is from RNAcentral.